RNAcentral lists this ribosomal RNA (484 nucleotides) under uncultured bacterium. Its description in RNAcentral is "partial 16S ribosomal RNA". It matches the Rfam family "Bacterial small subunit ribosomal RNA", at positions 28 to 523 of the family's 1533-position model. The record is from RNAcentral.
GACGAACGCUGGCGGCGUGCUUAACACAUGCAAGUCGAACGAUGAAGCCGGAGCUUGCUCUGGUGAAUUAGUGGCGAACGGGUGAGUAACACGUGAGUAACCUGCCCUUGACUCUGGAAUAACUGCGGGAAACUGUAGCUAAUACCGGAUACGACCCUCGGAGGCAUCUCCUGGGGGUGGAAAGAAUUUCGGUCAAGGAUGGACUCGCGGCCUAUAACCAAGGUUGUGAGGUAAAGGCUCCCCAAGGCGACGACGGGUAGACGGCCUGAGAGGGGGACCGGCCACACUGGGACUGAGACACGGGCCAGACUCCUACGGGAGGCAGCAGGGGGGAAUAUUGCACAAUGGGCGCAAGCCUGAUGCAGCAACGCCGCGUGAGGGAUGACGGCCUUCGGGUUGUAAACCUCUUUUAGCAGGGAAGAAGCGAAAGUGACGGUACCUGCAGAAAAAGCACCGGCUAACUACGUGCCAGCCGCCGCAGUAA